GUGCAGUCGAACGGCAGCAUGAUCUAGCUUGCUAGAUUGAUGGCGAGUGGCGAACGGGUGAGUAAUACAUCGGAACGUGCCCUGUAGUGGGGGAUAACUAGUCGAAAGAUUAGCUAAUACCGCAUACGACCUGAGGGUGAAAGUGGGGGACCGCAAGGCCUCAUGCUAUAGGAGCGGCCGAUGUCUGAUUAGCUAGUUGGUGAGGUAAAGGCUCACCAAGGCGACGAUCAGUAGCUGGUCUGAGAGGACGAUCAGCCACACUGGGACUGAGACACGGCCCAGACUCCUACGGGAGGCAGCAGUGGGGAAUUUUGGACAAUGGGGGCAACCCUGAUCCAGCAAUGCCGCGUGUGUGAAGAAGGCCUUCGGGUUGUAAAGCACUUUUGUCCGGAAAGAAAUCGCACUUACUAAUAUUAGGUGUGGAUGACGGUACCGGAAGAAUAAGGACCGGCUAACUACGUGCCAGCAGCCGCGGUAAUACGUAGGGUCCAAGCGUUAAUCGGAAUUACUGGGCGUAAAGCGUGCGCAGGCGGUUGUGCAAGACCGAUGUGAAAUCCCCGGGCUUAACCUGGGAAUUGCAUUGGUGACUGCACGGCUAGAGUGUGUCAGAGGGGGGUAGAAUUCCACGUGUAGCAGUGAAAUGCGUAGAGAUGUGGAGGAAUACCGAUGGCGAAGGCAGCCCCCUGGGAUAACACUGACGCUCAUGCACGAAAGCGUGGGGAGCAAACAGGAUUAGAUACCCUGGUAGUCCACGCCCUAAACGAUGUCAACUAGUUGUUGGGGAUUCAUUUCCUUAGUAACGUAGCUAACGCGUGAAGUUGACCGCCUGGGGAGUACGGUCGCAAGAUUAAAACUCAAAGGAAUUGACGGGGACCCGCACAAGCGGUGGAUGAUGUGGAUUAAUUCGAUGCAACGCGAAAAACCUUACCUACCCCUGACAUGCCACUAACGAAGCAGAGAUGCAUUAGGUGCUCGAAAGAGAAAGUGGACACAGGUGCUGCAUGGCUGUCGUCAGCUCGUGUCGUGAGAUGUUGGGUUAAGUCCCGCAACGAGCGCAACCCUUGUCUCUAGUUGCUACGAAAGGGCACUCUAGAGAGACUGCCGGUGACAAACCGGAGGAAGGUGGGGAUGACGUCAAGUCCUCAUGGCCCUUAUGGGUAGGGCUUCACACGUCAUACAAUGGUGCAUACAGAGGGUUGCCAAGCCGCGAGGUGGAGCUAAUCCCAGAAAAUGCAUCGUAGUCCGGAUCGUAGUCUGCAACUCGACUACGGAAGCUGGAAUCGCUA
This 1286-nucleotide ribosomal RNA is filed under the name uncultured Ralstonia sp. RNAcentral describes it as "bacterial SSU rRNA". It matches the Rfam family "Bacterial small subunit ribosomal RNA", at positions 55 to 1337 of the family's 1533-position model. Lineage: Bacteria; Pseudomonadati; Pseudomonadota; Betaproteobacteria; Burkholderiales; Burkholderiaceae. The record is from RNAcentral.